This 422-nucleotide ribosomal RNA is filed under the name uncultured archaeon. Its description in RNAcentral is "bacterial SSU rRNA". It matches the Rfam family "Archaeal small subunit ribosomal RNA", at positions 458 to 880 of the family's 1478-position model. The record is from RNAcentral.
UCAGCCGCCGCGGUAACACCGGCAGCCCAAGUGGUAGUCAUGUUUAGUGGGUCUAAAGCGUCCGUAGCCGGCUAUGUAAGUUCCUUGGGAAAUUUGAUCGCUUAACGAUCAAGCUACCGGGAAUACUACCUGGCUUGGGACCGGGAGAGGUUAGAGGUACUUCAAGGGUAGGGGUGAAAUCCGUUAAUCCUUGGGGGACCACCGGUAGCGAAGGCGUCUGACCAGACCGGAUCCGACGGUGAGGGACGAAGGCUAGGGGAGCGAACCGGAUUAGAUACCCGGGUAGUCAUAGCUGUAAACGAUGCGGGCCAGGUGUUGGCAUUACUGCGAGUGAUGCCAGUGCCGAAGGGAAGCCGUUAAGCCCGCCAUCUGGGGAGUACGGUCGCAAGGCUGAAACUUAAAGGAAUUGGCGGGGGAGCACA